GGUAUCCUGUCUGAAUAUGGGGGGACCAUCCUCCAAGGCUAAAUACUCCUGACUGACCGAUAGUGAACCAGUACCGUGAGGGAAAGGCGAAAAGAACCCCGGCGAGGGGAGUGAAAAAGAACCUGAAACCGUGUACGUACAAGCAGUGGGAGCACAGGUUUACCUGUGUGACUGCGUACCUUUUGUAUAAUGGGUCAGCGACUUAUAUUCUGUAGCAAGGUUAACCGAAUAGGGGAGCCGGAGGGAAACCGAGUCUUAAUUGGGCGUUAAGUUGCAGGGUAUAGACCCGAAACCCGGUGAUCUAGCCAUGGGCAGGUUGAAGGUUGGGUAACACUAACUGGAGGACCGAACCGACUAAUGUUGAAAAAUUAGCGGAUGACCUGUGGCUGGGGGUGAAAGGCCAAUCAAACCGGGAGAUAGCUGGUUCUCCCCGAAAGCUAUUUAGGUAGCGCCUCGUGAAUUCAUCUCCGGGGGUAGAGCACUGUUUCGGCUAGGGGGCCAUCCCGGCUUACCAACCCGAUGCAAACUGCGAAUACCGGAGAAUGUUAUCACGGGAGACACACGGCGGGUGCUAACGUCCGUCGUGAAGAGGGAAACAACCCAGACCGCCAGCUAAGGUCCCAAAGUCAUGGUUAAGUGGGAAACGAUGUGGGAAGGCCCAGACAGCCAGGAUGUUGGCUUAGAAGCAGCCAUCAUUUAAAGAAAGCGUAAUAGCUCACUGGUCGAGUCGGCCUGCGCGGAAGAUGUAACGGGGCUAAACCAUGCACCGAAGCUGCGGCAGCGACACUGUGUGUUGUUGGGUAGGGGAGCGUUCUGUAAGCCUGCGAAGGUGGCCUGUGAGGGUUGCUGGAGGUAUCAGAAGUGCGAAUGCUGACAUAAGUAACGAUAAAGCGGGUGAAAAGCCCGCUCGCCGGAAGACCAAGGGUUCCUGUCCAACGUUAAUCGGGGCAGGGUGAGUCGACCCCUAAGGCGAGGCCGAAAGGCGUAGUCGAUGGGAAACGGGUUAAUAUUCCCGUACUUGGUGUUACUGCGAAGGGGGGACGGAGAAGGCUAUGUUGGCCGGGCGACGGUUGUCCCGGUUUAAGCGUGUAGGUGUGUGUUCCAGGUAAAUCCGGUUCACUUUAACACUGAGGCGUGACGACGAGGCACUACGGUGCUGAAGCAACAAAUGCCCUGCUUCCAGGAAAAGCCUCUAAGCAUCAGGUAACAUCAAAUCGUACCCCAAACCGACACAGGUGGUCAGGUAGAGAAUACCAAGGCGCUUGAGAGAACUCGGGUGAAGGAACUAGGCAAAAUGGUGCCGUAACUUCGGGAGAAGGCACGCUGACAUGUAGGUGAAGUGAUU
This 1345-nucleotide ribosomal RNA is filed under the name Salmonella enterica subsp. enterica serovar Indiana. RNAcentral describes it as "partial 23S ribosomal RNA". It matches the Rfam family "Bacterial large subunit ribosomal RNA", at positions 428 to 1787 of the family's 2925-position model. The record is from RNAcentral. Lineage: Bacteria; Pseudomonadati; Pseudomonadota; Gammaproteobacteria; Enterobacterales; Enterobacteriaceae.